UACGUAGGGGGCAAGCGUUAUCCGGAUUUACUGGGUGUAAAGGGAGCGUAGACGGUUAUGUAAGUCUGGAGUGAAAGCCCGGGGCCCAACCCCGGGACUGCUUUGGAAACUGUGUAACUGGAGUACAGGAGGGGCAGGCGGAAUUCCUGGUGUAGCGGUGAAAUGCGUAGAUAUCAGGAGGAACACCAGUGGCGAAGGCGGCUUACUGGACGGCAACUGACGCUGAGGCUCGAAAGCGUGGGGAGCAAACAGG
Molecule: ribosomal RNA, 253 nt
Filed under: uncultured bacterium
Lineage: Bacteria
Description: partial 16S ribosomal RNA
Rfam family: Bacterial small subunit ribosomal RNA
Source: RNAcentral